UAUAACACAUUAAGUCACCUUAUAGUUGUCAGUUUCGAAUAUUUUUAGAUUUUUAGAUGCCUUAAAAGGCUGCAAGAUAAAAUAGGUUAGCGACUUUUCCAAUGACAUGUGUACUUGCCACAGAACGUACAAUGUACGUACACAAAUAGGGAAAAGCCACCAAACUGGUUCCAGUCCAAAAUAACCUCCCCUGGCAUUGCAAUUGUAUUCGGGGAAAAUAAAAAUGUACAAAGGAAACGGAAGCCCCUUGAUAAGACGCAAUUUCUUGUCAAGUUAUCAUUCUAAUGAAAAAUUCCUUGGCCGUCAGGCCGAAUCGCUUCUCAAAAGGGAACUGCAAAAGAAUGUGGAAACAUGCGCAGUACCGCCCGACUUUCCAGGGAGGGUUUGAGGUUUUGAGGCGGGAAAAAAGCCCAGGGGUGACUAGAUUUUCUCAAAAAGGAAAGCGGUUGCAACGGCCAUUGUUUCGGAGAAGUACCAAAACAGCGAGCUGCGCCUUAUCGCGCAAAAUUCAGCCUGCAGCUCAUUCAAGGCAGUAAAUCCCCCUGCAUCCACCAGUGGCGUAAUGGCCUAAUCAUUUCAAAGGCGGAAACGCCAGAACUUCUAUCGCCUGGAAGUGACCAAGUCUUCGCUUUCCCUAUCAACUGCGCAGCAGCUGACCAAGAUUUUCCGCCUUUUGUGCGCAAUUCCCAGUCCCCCUUCUUCAGAUCUCUGCCAUUGAGCGUCCCACGUCGAGCUUUGUGCGCCAAAUGGGGCUUGUCGAGGUCUGAGACUCUGUCGCAGACAUCUUGGUGGCCCCGCGAGCAGCGAAAUCGAAGUCGACGUCGUGCCUCGGUGACCUACACACUGGCACACCCCCAAAGGCCCCAAAAACACUCCCCCCCUCCAAACACACACACACAUAC
This is a long non-coding RNA of Drosophila teissieri, 902 nucleotides long. RefSeq lists it as uncharacterized. The transcript has 3 exons. The record is from RefSeq and is a predicted model, not a curated record. Lineage: Eukaryota; Metazoa; Arthropoda; Insecta; Diptera; Drosophilidae.